AAACGGCCGCGUUAGCGUGAGCGUGCUAAGGUAGCGUAAUAAUUAGCCUUUUAAUUGAAGGCCAGUGAAUGGCAAGACUAGGAACACCUUUACUUUGCAUACCAAAAAAACUUUUCGUCUAAGUGAAAAGACUUAGAUAACAAAGGUAGACGAAAAGACCCCGCGGAACUUUACCUUUUCUUGCAUUACUAUACAUUUAUUUCAUAAAGCUUUAAGGUUUGAUUGGGGCAAUCUUGGAAUCAACAAAGCUUCCACCUUUAUAAAAAACUAUCAAAAAUUCAAUAAGGACCAAAAAGAAGUUACCCCGGGGAUAACAGCGUAAUCCAGCUUAAGAGUACAUAUCGAAAGUUGGGUUUGCGACCUCGAUGUUGGCUUAAGGACAUCCACAUAAGUGCAAC
This 398-nucleotide ribosomal RNA is filed under the name Strophitus radiatus. Its description in RNAcentral is "partial 16S ribosomal RNA". It matches the Rfam family "Bacterial large subunit ribosomal RNA", at positions 1925 to 2559 of the family's 2925-position model. Lineage: Eukaryota; Metazoa; Mollusca; Bivalvia; Unionida; Unionidae. The record is from RNAcentral.